GAUCCUAUAGUGGUUUGAGCACUGGACUAUGACUCUGGAGACCAGGGUUCCAAUCCCUGUUGGGCCA
This is a non-coding RNA of Phrynosoma platyrhinos (Desert horned lizard), 67 nucleotides long. The record is from the annotation of a GenBank genome assembly. Lineage: Eukaryota; Metazoa; Chordata; Lepidosauria; Squamata; Phrynosomatidae.